This 750-nucleotide ribosomal RNA is filed under the name uncultured bacterium. RNAcentral's name for it is "bacterial SSU rRNA". It matches the Rfam family "Bacterial small subunit ribosomal RNA", at positions 50 to 789 of the family's 1533-position model. The record is from RNAcentral.
AAAACUAAACUGCAAGUCGAACGAGAGACCUUCGGGUCUCUAGUGGCGAACGGGUGAGUAACACGUAGGGAACCUGCCCGCGCACCGGGAAUACGCUCUGGAAACGGAGAACAAAUCCCGAUGUACAGGAAGGAGGCAUCUUCUUUCUGUGAAACAUCCUUUCGGGGAUGGGGCGCGGAUGGACCUGCGGUGCAUUAGUUGGUUGGCGGGGUAAAGGCCCACCAAGACGAUGAUGCAUAGCCGGCCUGAGAGGGCGGACGGCCACAUUGGGACUGAGACACGGCCCAGACUCCUGCGGGAGGCAGCAGUAGGGAAUUUUCGUCAAUGGGCGCAAGCCUGAACGAGCGAUGCCGCGUGAGUGAAGAAGGCCUUCGGGUCGUAAAGCUCUGUUGCGGGGGAAAAAAGGCAGCAUCAGGAAAUGGGUGCUGACUGAUGGUGCCCCGCCAGAAAGUCACGGCUAACUACGUGCCAGCAGCCGCGGUAAUACGUAGGUGGCGAGCGUUAUCCGGAAUGAUUGGGCGUAAAGGGUGCGCAGGCGGUCCUGCAAGUCUGGAGUGAAACGCAUGAGCUCAACUCAUGCAUGGCUUUGGAAACUGGAGGACUGGAGAGCAGGAGAGGGCGGUGGAACUCCAUGUGUAGCGGUAAAAUGCGUAGAUAUAUGGAAGAACACCAGUGGCGAAGGCGGCCGCCUGGCCUGUUGCUGACGCUGAGGCACGAAAGCGUGGGGAGCAAAUAGGAUUAGAUACCCUA